Molecule: small nuclear RNA, 162 nt
Organism: Parasteatoda tepidariorum (common house spider)
Lineage: Eukaryota; Metazoa; Arthropoda; Arachnida; Araneae; Theridiidae
Product: U1 spliceosomal RNA
Source: RefSeq, a predicted model, not a curated record
UGAACUACUUGGCACCGUGGGGUGCCUUGAGCACCAAGAAGGUUCCUCCAAGCACAGGUCUCUUAUUGCACCACAAGAGAACAAUGCUCGCUACUUCCACUAAUUGUGGUUGGUUAGGGUGCAUAAUUAUUGGUAGUUGGGACUGCGCACGCGUUGUCCCAU